Long non-coding RNA from Phocoena sinus (vaquita), 3337 nucleotides. The record is from Ensembl. Lineage: Eukaryota; Metazoa; Chordata; Mammalia; Artiodactyla; Phocoenidae.
CCAGACAAGACCUUUCACUUCCCAUCACAGAAGCUGUCCUUUGUCACUGGACAUCCACCCCUUUUGUAGGGUUGACCUCUGUACAGACGAAAGAAAAUGGGUCACCUGCAGAGAGCCGCCAUGUCCCAUGGACUCCAGUUUGUAUGAUAUUGUGUAAAUUCAUGGAGAACUCUUGACGCUUGCCAUCUUCCUUGUCCUCUUGGUAUUCAAGGCCAUGAAUCCCCAAGUAGCCAUCUUGGUGGCUAGCACCCAAACAGAAGUGGCCUCCAUCCAGCCCGGUGUCUCAGGCUCGGUUGAGCGCAUUGGCACUGCGGGGGUUGGCGAGCUAUGGAGUCAGCCAGCGGGUUGUGAGAGCUGGGGGGACAGGAGUCUGCCAGCAAGAGUGGGCAGCAGCAGCUGACCGUCACCUCAGUGACCCCGUGGGGGCCGAGCAGCCCUGGGGAGGCAAAGAGAGAAUUCCCCGAGCCGUCCAGCCGUGGGUCACCCGUGUAGCCGAGAAUUCAGUUGCUUCAUAACUGAAUGUGCUCUGGGAACUUUGCCACCCACUCAGCAGCCUUCCUUCCCAGCCAUGCCCUCUGUUUCAUCUACCUGUCCUCUACCCUGCCUCCCCUCCAGCUCCCCCCUUUUCUCACCUGUGAACCAUUUCCCUUCUCCCUCUUCCGUCCACCAGGCUCCAAGUCCCGCCUCUCUCCUCAUCUGCUCUUUUUGACUGUGUGUGUGCGUGUAAUUCACAACCACAUAGGACAUCUGAUGUGCGUGGAUGGGUCUGAGUGUGGGGCUCUGUGUGUGUGUAUCUCUCUGGUGCAUUUUGUGUACAUUUGUGUCAGUAUGUACCUGGACGCAGAUGUGGGUGUGUACUACUCAAGACUUCCUUGCUGACGACACGGAUCAGCUUCUGCAAAUAGGCUCACGUGUGAGUGAGUGCCCUGUGCGUGGGGAGCUAGGAGACGCCGGGGCAGGAAGUGCUGUUAGCUCCUAAUUGCGCUUCUAAGGAUGGUUUUUAAAACAAAGGAUGUAUUCUAUGAGAAGGGAGAUGAUUUUCAGGAAAACCCAGUGUUUCAAUUGUGCAGGGAAUUAAAAAAAUAAUAAUUUGCUUUGAAAAGUUAGAUUUCCCACUUCAGGGGAAGGGCAUACUUGGGCUUGAGGAAAAGUGAGAAGUAUCUCAGAUUGUGUCUUCCUUCCAAGCAUCUUGACUGGGCUCCGCCCAGCAGGGAGAGCUGGGCGUCCACCAGCAUCUGUUUGGGGACAGGAGGCUUGUCUGUGACCACAUCCAAAUUUCAGCUGUUUCCCAAUUGUAGGAAAAUGCGGAAAGAAAUUCCAAAUGGGGCAAUUUGUAAUCAAUCAUUUAAACUUUUCCUAAGUAACCAGUACUGUUCACCAACCUGUAAUUUAUACCCUCUUUUUUAAUCCCAUGCUUGCCGUAAAUAGAUCAUCCACUCUCUCCAACUGCUAAUCUUCAUCAUAGACCUUCAUCAUAGAUUGCUGCAUCCCUUUGAAAUGUUCCUAAAUGCUAGGAGGACCCCUAGGAAAGAAGUAAACCACCUGGGCCCAACUCACCAUCAGCAGAGCAGGAGCUCAGAGCCGCUUUCUUUGGUAAUGGGGCCGGAAAUGUACAGACACGCACACUCUGGGUCUGACCCUGCUCGGGGCACAUAAGCCCAGCCACGUGGCCAGGACGGAAGCCCUGUACAGAUGGCAAGUGGGAGAACUGCUCUGGUCACCUUGAUCCCUCCGGCCUAGGGACUUGACCGCAGAUGAAGACGUGUCACUCCAAGCUGUCACUGAAGCUUUCAUGCUGUGAGGGCUGAGGAGGAAAAGGCAGAGAGGGAGGAGAAGGAAGGAGGAGGCUCAACUUUCGGGACUCUUUACAUCAGACUCUGCUAACCCCAGAUCAGAGUAGAACCCGGCCUUCUGACGGGAUUUAGGGUCAGCGGCCUCACCCACCAGCCCCCACCCCAGGUCAAGUUCAAAUUCCCUACAGGUGUGCAGGCGAGGCCUGUGACCGUGUAUGUGUUUUGAGCUCCGUGAAAGUCGACCUUGAGCACGGGCCCUUUUAUUUCCUUCCCUGCCCUAGGACCCUGGGGAUUCAGGAAAGUGGGGUGUCUGCCUUAGAAAAAGGUCCUACUUCUUUCCCCAUUUGGAGAGUUUUGGUUUCUUCUUCUGAUUUCUGUUCCUUUCUGUCCACUCACUUCCACUUUCUCCCUGCAUCAACUACGACCCAUUAAAAUAGUUAAGGAAUCUGUCUUUAGAGAGGCUCAUCCACUCCAAGCAGCCCCCUUCCUUGUUUGUUGUGGCUGUAGGUUUCAUGAGCAGUUCUGUGACUCCCUGACUUCAAAGUGUAAACCAAUUUCAGACGUGCCUGUUCCAGCUUCAAUCCUCCUCCAAGUCCCAGCCUUUCAACGAUAACACCCUUUCGAUUUCAGGGAUCACAAGGUCACAAACACUGGACAACUCCACCAAAUCAAGACAAAGCCUUCCUCAGUCACACGUCCAUGUGCAGCACCCUGGGCCCUGGUGCCAUUUGGGGAUGUUCUCUUGUUGGGAGUGAGUGGUUUCACCUAGCAAUGCUUGCCUUUCUUUCGCUAAGGGAAGAAGAUGUCCUGAGACUCUUCAGUCGGUGCCCCACGUCUUAGUGUUCAUCCGCUGUCACCACGAGAGGUCUAAAAUGAAAGAACCACGUGUAGUUGUCCUGGUUUAAUGGGAGGAUGUGCUGCUUACAUCUCCACAGCUGCCCACCUGAGUCAGAUUCAGGAUAGUGAAAUCAGGUACAUCACCCAGAGGCGUUUAGAAUUGACUCUGUCUUCACCUGGCUUAUUCUGAGAGCAUUAAGGAACUGAUUUUCGAGUAUCGUGGGGGAAAGAGUGGGAAGCAAUACACUCUGGUCAUCUUUGGUGUGAUGCGUGUGGGAUGUUUGCUUGAUUCUUGUAGCUAAAGGGAAGCUGCUCUUCUGAAAAGGUCCCCUCUGCUCUAGGGACGAACCUUUCCCGUGGACAUAUCCAGCCCUUUCCAGGGAAAGAUGAUGAGUCAUGGAGUGAUUUCACCACAGAUAGGAAUAGUUGGUGCAUUAACAGCCGGGUUGGCUUCUGUGCUGUCUUCCAGCUGUUAUACAGUAGAGUAAGGGGACAGAUUUUUAAACAAGACCACCUGAGUUGAUGGUCACAAAAGUUUCUGGUUUCCCUCAACGUGGUCACCUUGGUGGGCUGGGUUUUCCCUCUUUUCAUCAAUGCCUCCAUGGUGCAAAAUAUUUCUUAAACAUUAUGGUUAGUUCUUGGACUACAUUAUUAUUGGCUGUUUGAUUUUUUUUCCUGAAUAAUACGUGUUCAUUGUAGAAAGUUAG